ACGGAAGUAACGAAGGGCGCACGGGGGAUGCCUAGGCUCUCGGAGGCGACGAAGGACGUGAUAAGCUGCGAUAAGCUUGGGGGAGGGGCACAUACCCGCUGAUCCCAGGAUUUCCGAAUGGGGCAACCCACUUGGUUGAAGACCAAGUAUUCGAUCCGCAAGGACGAAGGCGAACGCGGGGAACUGAAACAUCUAAGUACCCGCAGGAACAGAAAAUAACAAUGAUUCCCCCAGUAGUGGCGAGCGAACGGGGACGAGCCCAAACCGGGUUGGUUACGGCCAGCCCGGGGUUGUAGGACCACGGCGUGGGACCUUUUUACGGUAGUCGAAACAGGUGGGAAACUGUACCAGAGACGGUGAGAGUCCGGUAGACGACAUUGUAAGAGGCCCUAGUGGACUCCUGAGUAGGGCGGGGUUGGAGACGCCCCGUCCGAAUCCGCCGGCACCAUCCGGCAAGGCUACAUACUCCCGAGAGACCGAUAGUGAACCAGUACCGUGAGGGAAAGGUGAAAAGAACCCCGGAUAGGGGAGUGAAAAGAACCUGAAACCGUGCGCUUACAAGCGGUCGGAGCCCCGGUUGUGGGGUGACGGCGUGCCUUUUGCAUAAUGAGCCUACGAGUUGCUCCUCCCUGGCAAGGUUAAGCGCUUGGAAGCGCGGAGCCGCAGCGAAAGCGAGUCUGAACAGGGCGCAGAGUCAGGGGGGGCAGACGCGAAACUUUGUGAUCUACCCAUGGGCAGGGUGAAGGUUGGGUAACACCAACUGGAGGCCCGAACCAGUUUCCGUUGAAAAGGAUUUGGAUGACCUGUGGGUAGGGGUGAAAGGCCAAUCAAACUGAGAAAUAGCUCGUACUCCCCGAAAUGUAUUGAGGUACAGCGUCGUGGUCGAGUCACCUGGAGGUAGAGCUACCGAUUGGACUAGGGGGUGUCACAGCCUACCGAAUCCAGACGAACUCCGAAUGCCACGGUGAUAUACACGGCAGUGAGGCCUGGGGUGCUAAGGUCCCAGGCCGAGAGGGAAAGAACCCAGACCAUCCGCUAAGGUCCCUAAAUCCGGGCUAAGUUGAACAAAGGAGGUCCAGUUGCCUUGACAGCCAGGAUGUUGGCUUGGAAGCAGCCAUUCAUUUAAAGAGUGCGUAACAGCUCACUGGUCGAGCGACAGGGCAUCGAUAAUACGCGGGCAUCAAGUCCGGUACCGAAGCGAUGGGUUGCAGCUUGCUGCAGCGGUAGGGGAGCAUUCCAGCAGCGGCGAAGCCGCGACCGGGAGGCGCGGUGGAGCGGCUGGAAAAGCAAAUGUAGGCAUGAGUAACGAUAAUGGGGGUGCGAAACCCCCACGCCGAUAGACUAAGGUUUCCUGCUCAACGCUAAUCGGAGCAGGGUUAGUCGGGACCUAAGGCUAAGCCGACAGGCGAUGACCGAUGGCCAGCUGGUUGAUAUUCCAGCACUUGUUUUGUGGAGUGAUGCGGUGACGGAGAAGUGAAAGGCACGCGGGCGGACGGAAGUGCCCGUUGAAGCGCGUAGGUAUAGCCGGGGUAGUGAAGUACGCCCCGGUUGCUGAACCGCGAUAGUAGGCCAAGCCCCUCGGGGCGCGGCCAUAGUUGCCCUAAUCAGACUCCCAAGAAAACCCGCUAAGCGUUUACCGCAAGACGACCCGUACCGCAAACCGACACAGGUAGUCAAGGAGAGCAUCCUGAGGCGCUCGAGUGAAUCACGGCCAAGGAACUCGGCAAAAUGGUCCUGUAACUUCGGGAGAAGGGACGCUUCCUGGCAGCAAUGCCAGAAGCCGCAGUGAAAAGGCCCAGGCGACUGUUUAACAAAAACACAUGGCUUUGCGAACUCGCAAGAGGAAGUAUAAGGCCUGACACCUGCCCGGUGCCGGAAGGUUAAGAGGGGGACUUAGCCGCAAGGCGAAGGUCUGAAUCGAAGCCCCGGUAAACGGCGGCCGUAACUAUAACGGUCCUAAGGUAGCGAAAUUCCUUGUCGGGUAAGUUCCGACCUGCACGAAUGGUGUAACGAUCUGGGCGCUGUCUCAGCCGUGAGCUCGGUGAAAUUGUAGUCUCGGUGAAGAUGCCGAGUACCCGCCACGGGACGGAAAGACCCCGUGCACCUUUACUACAGCUUGACAUUGACCCUGGGCACCGCAUGUGUAGCAUAGGUGGGAGGCGUUGAACCGGGGCCGCUAGGUCUCGGGGAGCCGACGUUGAAAUACCACCCUUGCGUUGCUUGGGGCCUAAUCUCGGACGACGGGAAACAGUGUCUGGUGGGUAGUUUGACUGGGGUGGUCGCCUCCAAAAGUGUAUCGGAGGCUUUCAAAGGUCCGCUCAAUCCGCUUGGUAACCGGAUGCAGAGCGCAAUAGCAGAAGCGGGCUUGACUGUGAGGCGUACAGGCCGAGCAGGGUCGAAAGACGGAUAUAGUGAUCCGGUGGUUCCGCAUGGAAGGGCCAUCGCUCAAAGGAUAAAAGGUACGCCGGGGAUAACAGGCUGAUCUCCCCCAAGAGCUCAUAUCGACGGGGAGGUUUGGCACCUCGAUGUCGGCUCGUCACGUCCUGGGGCUGGAGAAGGUCCCAAGGGUUCGGCUGUUCGCCGAUUAAAGUGGCACGCGAGCUGGGUUCAGAACGUCGUGAGACAGUUCGGUCCCUAUCUGUGGCGGGCGUUGGAAUGUUGACAGGACCUGACCUUAGUACGAGAGGACCGGGUUGGACCAGCCGCUGGUGUACCAGUUGUGCCGCCAGGUGCAGCGCUGGGUAGCUACGCUGGGUCGAGAUAAGCGCUGAAAGCAUCUAAGUGCGAAACUCACCUGAAGAUGAGCAUUCCGUUCAAGAAGGUCCGUGGUAGAUCACCACGUCGAUAGGCCGCAGGUCUUAAGCCGGAGACGGCCAGCCGAGCGGUACUAAUGAACCGAACGCUUCCGAAU
Non-coding RNA from Cytophagales bacterium, 2911 nucleotides. NCBI's taxonomy places the organism in Bacteria, Pseudomonadati, Bacteroidota, Cytophagia, Cytophagales. The record is from Rfam.